RNAcentral lists this ribosomal RNA (433 nucleotides) under uncultured bacterium. RNAcentral's name for it is "partial 16S ribosomal RNA". It matches the Rfam family "Bacterial small subunit ribosomal RNA", at positions 29 to 507 of the family's 1533-position model. The record is from RNAcentral.
AACGAACGCUGGCGGCAUGCCUAACACAUGCAAGUCGAACGAUACCUUCGGGUCUUGUCUCGCACGGGUGCGUAACCCGUCGGAACCUUCACUUAGGUUCGGUCUACCUCCCAGAAUGGGGUACUCGUACCGAAUAAUGUCUUCUACCCAAUGCUUUAUCGCCUUUGGAUGGGCCCGCGUUGGAUUAGCUAGUUGGUAGGGUAAAAUCCUACCAAGGCGGCGAUCCAUGGCUGGUCGGAGAGGAUGACCAGCCACAAUGGGACUGAGACACGGCCCAGACUCGUACGGGAGGGAGCAGAGGGGAAUAUUGGGCAAGGGGCGAAAGCGUAGUAAAGCAAUGCCGGGGGAGAGAGGAAGGGGGUAGGGUUGUAAAGUUAGUUGACAAGAGAUGAAAAUGACAGUACCGGGAGAAUAAGCACCGGCUAACUACGUG